Molecule: long non-coding RNA, 6987 nt
Organism: Cavia porcellus (domestic guinea pig)
Lineage: Eukaryota; Metazoa; Chordata; Mammalia; Rodentia; Caviidae
Exons: 2
Source: RefSeq, a predicted model, not a curated record
GUAGCUGCUGACUGCUAUGGGAGGAUAGCAUGGUGCCUGCCAGGGAGCCUGUGAGUGGGAUGCUGUUAAAGAAUGCCGUGGAGAAGUCCCUGUUGUCAAGCAAGAACAAAAAUCAGAUGCCAUAUCAGAUAAGGUCUAAGUUGCCCAGGCUAUCUCAAACUCCUGGACUCAGGUGAUCCUACUGCCUCUGCUUCCUGAAUAGCUGAGAUCAGCAGCAUGCACCAUGGCAUCUGGCUACCUUUUUACAUUCUGACAUAAAUAUUAUGCUUUUUUUAAGAAAUUUUCAAAUUUUCCUUAUUUAUCUAUGCACUAGAGUAUGUGUAACACAUGAGUAAUCUGUUCUUUUUUGUUUUUUGAGACAGGGUCUCACUAUGUAGUCCAUGCUGUCCUUGAAGUCUCUAUGUAGUCCAGGUUGGUUUCAUACUUGCAGAGAUCCUCCUGCCUCUGCCUCCUGUGUGCUAGGAUUAUAGAUGUUUGCCAUCAUACUCAGUGAGUUAAUGUUCUUUAGAUUUGAAAGGAUUUCCCAUGAAGUCUUCUUGGUACGGUGGUUUUGGUGGUAUUAACUUGUUGACAGUGUCCUCUAUGUUUUCUAACAAAUUCUUUCAUUUUAAUUUUAUUUUCUUCAAAAAUUAUCCACUGUCCAAUUUAUCCACAUGGAGUUCAGCAAAGAAGGCACUCAUCCUUUUGAUUUACUUUCCACUUAGCAUUAAUUUGAAUAUUUGUGUUUUCUUUUUUAACUAAUCUAAUAAUUACUAUAUGGUUCUUUAUUUGAAUAUGGGAAUUAGGAGGGUUAAACACCCUUUAAAACAAAAGGAAUCAAGUUUUGGGUCAGAAAUAUGUAUCUAAUGGCAAACAGACCCUUACCUCCUCAUAAAGACCUGGAAGAAUACACAGAAAAGAGUCAUCAUUGACACAACACCACCUUUCAUUGCCAGAGGCCCAGCAGGACUCAAAACACAUUCACACAUUUGGUCUCACUUGAUUCUAAUAAAAGCUGGGCAAUUAGCUUAACCACUGUAGGUCAUAUAAGAAAAAGACUUAAUCAAAGGAAACUUUUUGAUCUAGGAGAAAUAAGCAGAUCUAAUUCUAGCCAGAUUUCUGCCUUGUGGGGAUUCUGUGCCCACACCUAAUACUAAAAGUUGACUCAGGAGAUCAACUGAUUUAGCGUUCAAGGAGUAUCUGGAGCAUAUCAUGGGUGGACAGCUGCAGAGUGCAGAGGACUGUAGAGCUGUGAUCUCCACCAGGGACUUCUUAAUGCCCUAAGAGGAUAGCUACAACUUGACAAUGUUCUGUCUUCUUCAUCAGGGCUUUACCACCCUUUGAAUCAACAAACAUCAUUUCUGACGAACAACUAAUCCAAAAGCAAGUCUGACUGUAGACAUUAACACAAUGGCAAAGGUGGAAUCCAUGUCAGUACUUUCUGACCCUGGAGGAAAUGUGCCUCAGUAUCCUCUGCCUAGCAGUUCCAUUUCUCAGAAUUAUUCUGAGGAAACAGUCACAGGUUUACUCAAAGAUUCAUUUACAGUCACAAAAAACUGGACACAAACUACAAGUCUGCAGUUGAGAAACCAGUUCAAUAAUGGUGUUUCAUAGAACAGGAACCUGAAUAAUCAGCACAUGAAGGCUUCAGAGGACUAUUUAUUACAGAAGACAAAAGGUAUAGAUACAGUAACAAGUGGGGAAAAAGAUCAGAAAUACAGAUGUCAAAAUUUUAGCAAGGGUUAUAUCUGAGAGGCUGGAUUUUGGAUGUUUAUACUUUUCUUUGGGUUUUUAAAUAUAAUCAGAAAAAUGUUAAAAAUGAAACAAGAAAAAAACCAGUCUGACUGCUGUACUCAUAUGUCCUCCAGUGACCUGCCAACAGUGAAGUAUGGUAGAAACACUGGCUCUGAGAAGGCCUUCUAGUUUGCAGGCCAUCUCAGCCCUUUUCACAUGAGUCUCAAGUGUACACAAAGUUCUGGGAAGAACAACUCUCUUCUAUAUUUGGUUAGUCUUACUGGCCCAAGAAUUUGUGAAGACUUUAACUACAAAAGUGCUAACUAGUGAAAGGAGAGAGGAAGACCUCCCCAGACAAGGUCACAGAAAGCUUGGUGAAUGAAUGAGUACCCAGUGUCCAGCUGUGCUAUGCAGAGAGGUGUGAUUCUUCUCCGACCAUCUGCUGUCCGAGUCUCAACUUGUUUCUUCAAAAGAUUCUGGCAAAAUAGAGUCAAAUAAAUGAAUGGAAAAGUUUCUGCCAUGUUCAAAAAAACCCAAAAAAUUGCUUUUUUUUUUUUUUUUUUUUGUGAUAGGAGUAUUUAGUGUAACAUCUAUUCUUUUAGUAAAUAAAAUAUGCAAUAUAGUACUGCUAACUGCACGCACAGUGCUGUGCAGUAGAUCUCCAGGACUGACUAAGACUAUGCUUUGGCAGUACCUCCCCAUCUCCCCACAGUCCCUGGUACCCACCAUUCUCCUCUCUAUUCCGUGAGUCUCCCUGUUUGAGAUUCCUCAUUUAAGUGUUUUAGUAAAUUAUUUGUCCUGUGUCUGGCUUAUUCUUAAAUUGUGUAUAAUAUUAAGUGUAUCUAACUUUUUAAAAUGUCAGUUAUCCCUCAUUAUAAGCAAGUUGAGGUGGUUCACACCUAUAAUCCCAGAACUCGGGAGUCUGAGGCAGGAGGAUCACUGUGGGUUGAUAGCUGGGCAGGACUACACAGUGAGUUCAAGGCCAGCUUGAACUAUAUGGUGAGACCUUGUCUCAAAAAACAGUAACAACAACAACAAAACAGAAACAAAAUUAUAGCUCACUAUAGUGAGAUGAAAAAAACAAGAUUUCUAGAGGGAAAAAAUAAAGGGAGAGAAUGGGCAGAGAAGAAAGAAGGAUUGGACAAAGAGAAAACAGAGAGAAAGAGAAAGGCUCCUAAGAAGAUACAUUUUAACAUCCUUCUCUACAGUCCUUUUGAUACAAUAAAAUGAAGCCAGCUAAUCGAAGCUCAAGCAUUUUUAUCCAAGUAUGUGCUGAACUUCCUGUACAUUACAAAAGCAAAAAUAGAAAGCUACUAGCUGAACCAGCACCACACAUCUUCUGCUUUUACUACCAAUACCACAGACAUGGCUAGAUUCUUGGGGCUGCAAGCACAUGACAGGCUGGCUAAGUCCACCUGAUUGCCAUGGGGUUCAGUGAAGAAGUAAACGGUCAGAUCUGUAUCUAUAAGCAAUAUUUUUUCCCCUAAACUUGUGGUUUUCAAACUGACUUUUAUCAUAAGAGUACCUCCUUGCAAAAAAGGCUUGUAUCUAAGGGUUCUUAGUCAUAAUAUCUGUCUAAAUAACCCAGGGAAGGAUUGUCAAUUGACAAAGCACAGGAGAUGGGUUAAGUUCUCCAAGUAAGCUUGACAUUUCCUAACCUGCUCUUGUCCCCAUUUAUAAUCCCUUGCACCCACAAAUAAACAUGGGUUUCCAGAUGAAGAAGGGGAACUCACAAGUUUCCUAAAGGCAGAGCCUGAAAUUCACUGUUCUGAAAGACUAGAAUGUCUUAGAAAGGUAAGCCAGUAAAGGUCUGGCAGGUCCUGUAAGAGACUACUUUCUCUAGGGGUCCUUGGGAUAGAAGGCCUUUUAAAAAGGAGCUUUGCACCCCAUUAGUGUCUCAUGCAGUUGCAGGCAAUGGGACCAACUGGCCUUAAGCAAGCUAACUGCAGCUUGUACACAGGCUUAGUAUGUACCCUCUUUACUACAACUCAUGACUGUGGCUCCACUUCUGUACACAGUCCUAGCUGCCCUGUGCCCAUGUCCUCAGUGCUACUGAACCAAAGUCUUACCUUCCUGAUGUCUUCUAGGCUUUCCCCAUUAACAACCCCUGUUACUGAGGAAGCUGAGGCAGUCUCUCUGGCAGUGGCACUCUUUUGGUCCAGCUGCUGCUGUUGUUGCCUCCGUUGAUACUUGAGCAUCUCAGGGUUCUCAAUGACAGCAGUGGAGAGCUGAGCCUCGGUCAUAAUGGCCAGGCUCUUACCAUAGGUAGAUUGGUGAAUGCGGCUCUAUGGGAAGAUAGGAGAGGUUUGGCACAUGGGUCUGAGUAUUGCUGUGGCUCAUUAAUAGGUACACUGAGGGCUCUGAGUCUUAGGGUCUGGGAGGCCGGAUCUUGUUAUCUUCCACCUAACUCGUCUGUCCCCGACUAGGCAUUUCAGUCAGUCUUACAAUCUCAUUAGAUUUUAUUUAUUUAUUUAUUGCUUGAAUAAUUGUCUUUUUCAGACAGGGUUUUUCUUAUGCAAUUUAGACUGGCCUUGAACUCACGGUGAUUCUCCCGCCUCAGCCUCCUGAGUACUGGGAAUACAGGUGUGUGCAUCAUGCCCGGCCUCUCACUAGAUGUUUAUAGCCUCCUACGCAUCUAUAGCUGGGGAUGACAGUAAAACACCAACAAAAGAAUCCUGUUACUCUGUUUGGUACAGAUAGAAAGGGCAAUAAACACUUUUGCAACUGAAAUACAGACAUCUAAAUUGCUAACCUAAGGCUCUUAACUCAUUUCAAGGACCUUAAACACUAAGGGAACCAGAUCUUGGAAGCAAGAGUCUGCUUUUGCUGCUUUUGUCCUCAGACAUCAGCCACUAUGAUAGGAGGUCUCCACAGGAGUAAUGGUGUCUCUAAAACUAAGGGAGGCUUAGCACUGCACUCCAAAAGAUAGUCUUCUAUGUUUCCUUGUUUUUCCUAACUUUUCUGAUUCUUCUGAGCAGGGUCUCCUUCUCCUAGGACCUAUUAAUUCUUUGUCAUAAUAAGCUAGACAAGAGACCCACAAGAGCAGGGACAGUGUCCUCAGCACACCAAAGUGAUUGGUGCUUAUAAACGCACAACAGGAAAAAGGAUAAACCCAAGGAUACACAAAUGACUAGCAUUGCAUGCUGCGCAGGACAUAGGCUAUGGUUUUUUCUUUUCUUUUAUCUUUUUGAGGCAGGGUUUCACUACACAGUUCAGGCUGGCCUUGAACUCACUUUGUAGACCAAUCUGGCCUCAACCUAAAGAGUGUUGGGAUUAUAGGCAUAUGUCACUAUGUCUGGCGGGACUAUGGUUAAUGGGUAUCUGUCUCACACCAGGAGGUACUGCGUUGGGAGAAGCAGCUUUCCAGGAAGGAGGACUUGGGACUUGUGGCUACAGGUCUGAGUAUAGCCAGGGAUUUUCUUCCUUAGCUGUCUUCAUGUCUUGGUAUCUCCCAAGUCUGUCACCUUAAUUCAGAGACUGGCCAAGGUUUUCCUAGUGUGUACCUGGCAGUGAACUGGGAAAAUGGUAAGUUAAAAGCAGUUAUUAUACAGGCUCACGUAGUGACUCCUCCAGGGAAUUCACAUAGUGCCACGGUAACAGUAACAAAUGACAGCGAUAAGGUAGGACAAAAGACCUCAGGCCCAGUAAUUUAAGUGAAAUAAGUAUAAACACUAAGAAAUAUAUCACUGUUAUAACUGCUGCUAUCAAUAAGACAGUGGGAUAGGAAAAAUACCAUAAGCAGGGGUCCCUGGUGAGGGUGUCCUAGGGGCGAAAAUAUCCCUGCAGGUGGCCUAUUAUUAGCUCAAGAGAGGCAGAAGCCAAUUUCAUUCUUAAUUCCUGGACUUGUUUAUGACACUAAUACAGAUUAUUAAUCUAUUUGCAAAGGAUUAUAAUUUAUAAAAGACAAACCCCCUACAAUAUUUAAAGAAACAAGCUGGGUAUGGUGGCUUGUCUGUAAUUCCAGCAUUCUAAAGAAUGAGACAGAGGAAUCAUGAGUUAGUUCAAGGCCAGCCUGGGCCAUAUAUUGAGGACUUGCUUCAAAAGAGAGAGAGAGAGAGAGAGAGAGAGAAGGGAGAGGAGAGAAGACAGAAAAGAGAAGAGAGAAAAAGAAAGGAGAGAGAGAGAGAGAGAGAGAGAGAGAGAGAAAAUCAGAAAAUUUUAAAGAAACAAUGUAUAAAUACAUGUUCAUCCGAAAAGAAGAGGACCUAGUCAAAGGGAUCUCUCAGAACUAUCUAGUGAUUUCUGUGGGCAUAUAGCACACAACAGUACAUGAACCAGAAGCCUACCUUUUCUUCCUCACUUAGGGGGUCUCCAAGUUCAUCCUGGGAGAAGUCGAGGAAUGCCACAGAACCAUCCAUGGAACAAACCAGGAUGCCCAGUCCAUUCAGAGUCCUGAAAGAAACAGCUAUCAGGAGUAUGGAAGCCAACUGCCUGAACUGGAUAUUGUACCACAGGGGCGGACCUAUAGGAUGACUGGACAGUGUUUAGUUUCCUUCUGUGGCCUAAGAAUGGGGGCAAUCCUAGAGUCAUAUCCUAGUGUCCGUUAUAGGUGCAUGGACAAAAUAUCUCCUACUGUACAGUUUGGUAAGAACUUUUGUAUUUAUUUUUUAAAAAAUUUUGAGGAUGUGUAUCUAUUCUAAAGCUACAUGGUUUGUUUGAGAAGGCAUUUUCCUUUGGUAAAUCCUGGCCAGAGCAGGACAUUUUCACAACAGGAGGUGCAGAACUGCUGAAUGCUAGAUCAUAUGCAAACAGUAUAUUGAGAUCUACAUUCCCUGGGGAGCGUGUAGUAGACUCCCUGUCUUAACUGUAUUCAGAAGACCAUAUGACUUACUGUAGCCUAUGUACCUCUUCUAGUUUAGAUAUAAAAUGGACUCAAAGGACUCAUGAGUUUGGAAGGUGAAUGGAUUAUGGGGACACUACAGUUGUCUUGUUGCUAGGUGGGGCCUGGUCAGAAGGCACAGGUCAUCUGAGGUGUGACCUGGAAAGGUGUAUCUUCAGGAUAUGAGCAGCUUUUUUUGAUGGCAAGCCCUUCUACCAUACCAUUUUUGUGUUUGGGUUUGCAAACCAUGGACUUUUUUUGUAUUUUUGAAACAGGGUCUCACUAUGCAGUUCAAGCUGGUCUUGAGCUCACUUUGUAGCCCAGGCUGGUCUUCAAUUUGCUAUGAUCCUCCUGCCUCAGCCUCCUGAGUGCUGGGAUUACCUGCAUGUACCACUACAUCCGGCAACCAUGGACUUCUGAAACUUCAGUCAAAAUAAAUCUCUCUCCUCCUUUAA